This 1574-nucleotide long non-coding RNA is filed under the name Homo sapiens (human). Its description in RNAcentral is "HSALNT0339598". The record is from RNAcentral. Lineage: Eukaryota; Metazoa; Chordata; Mammalia; Primates; Hominidae.
AGUUAUGUAACUGUCCAGCCACAAAUCACUUAUUAAACAACUGGAUUCAGAAGACCAAGAUCUGCAUUUGGGUCACUCCAGUUAUCUUGAGAUCUGGGACCCAGGUGGCUGGGGUGGCAGCUGAUCAUGUCAGGAGGACUCCUCUGCACAACAUCACAAGCACAGGAGAGAAUGCUAAACUUGAUUGGGAGCUCACAGAAGACCCCUGGAACCCAGAGCAAUAAGAUGAAUGCAUGAUAUCUCUUGGUAAAAUGGCCCAGAAGAAACACAGGAAGGAGUUAUGAAAAGAUAACACCCGGAAAUUUGGACCCAGAGAUACAUUCAGAGAGAAGAUGAUGUGAAGGCACAGGAAGGAUGCCCUGUGAACAUCAGGACCAAUGCCUGCAAACCUAGGAGAGAGGUCUACAACAGAUCCUUCCCUCGCAGCCCUCAGAUCGAACUGACCCUGCAAGUACCUUGAUUUUGGACUUCUGGCUUCCAGAACUGAGCAACAAUAACUUUCUGUUGAAGCCGUCCAGUUUUGAAGCCACCCAGUCUGUGGUGCUUGGUUACCGCGGCCCUAGCAAACUUGCCUGAGGCUUUCCAAAUCACAGCCCCGUUUUGUCACAGGGGAAGAAUUCUAAGAAGUUCUUUAUUUGGCCAAGUGAGGGAUAGAAGAAUAAUGAGCAUUUCCCUCAUCACAGCUCUGACAACUGCCUCAGCCACACACGGCUUAGGAGAUUGGCCACUUCCUCCGCCUUCAGCUUGCAGGGGGCUUCAGUAAUAAAUGUGUAGAAGUGUUUGGUCUUCUCAAUGCUGGGAAUCCAGGGAGUAUGGCCUGGCAUACAUGGAAACCAGUCCCCUAAAGACCUCAUUGACACAGGCCUCAUUUGGGGGUCUCCUCAGGCACUUCCCCCUUGGCUCCUGAGGCCAGAACCCGACCCUGCUGUGUCUCUCUUCCAUGCAUCUUUUUGCCAUCUCUGCUCUCUGGAAUCUGCAACAAUAUGAGGGUGCUCAGGACUUUGAUGUUGCUACUGACCUCAGCAUGCCCCAGUCCAAACCUACCUUCUUCCUCCUGGGCCCACAUCCGCUUCUGCUCCCCACUUCCCCAGUGUCUUCAUUCUUUUCAUCACAUGCUGACCAAAGACUCAUCUUUAGGCACUCUCUAUGUCCCUUCUGCUACAUCCACUCUGUUGCCACAUCUCCUGAAUUCUUCUGUCUGAUUUCUUCUCACUCUUCCUUUCCACCCUGGAUCAGUCCAUUGGGGCCGCAUGUCAGGACACCGGAUGACACUGUUUGGACACCUGGAAGGAUCGGGUAAAAGAUACAGAGAAGUCUAAGGAGGGAUAGGGUGAGUCUGGGAUGGGCUGUGGAUUAGGCACCAGGUAAAGCUAAUUGGGGGGUGGGUGAGGAAUGGGGUGAGGGUAUCUAUUGCAUCUAUUUUAUGGUAAUAAAAGGAAGUUGAAAGUUCAGUUGCUUGUUUUGGGGAAUUAAAAAUGAUCAUGAAUGUCAAAAUGUGAGCAACUUUGCACAGAAUGGCAAUAUCAGAGUGUCAUGGAUCAUCGCAGAAGCCUUCUCCUUGUUGCCUGCAUUUC